AACGAACGCUGGCGGCAGGCUUAACACAUGCAAGUCGAACGGUUGUAGCAAUACAGCAGUGGCGCACGGGUGAGUAACGCGUGGAUAUCUGCCUUUUGGUUCGGAAUAACUCCGGGAAACUGGAGCUAAUACCGGAUGGUUCCUGCGGGAUAAAGAUUUAUCGCCAAAAGAUGAGUCCGCGUACGAUUAGCUAGUUGGUGAGGUAAUGGCUCACCAAGGCGACGAUCGUUAGCUGGUCUGAGAGGACGAUCAGCCACACUGGGACUGAGACACGGCCCAGACUCCUACGGGAGGCAGCAGUGGGGAAUAUUGGACAAUGGGGGCAACCCUGAUCCAGCCAUGCCGCGUGAGUGAUGAAGGCCU
RNAcentral lists this ribosomal RNA (363 nucleotides) under uncultured bacterium. Its description in RNAcentral is "bacterial SSU rRNA". It matches the Rfam family "Bacterial small subunit ribosomal RNA", at positions 29 to 417 of the family's 1533-position model. The record is from RNAcentral.